Long non-coding RNA from Alligator mississippiensis (American alligator), 2617 nucleotides. RefSeq lists it as uncharacterized. The transcript is spliced from 4 exons. The record is from RefSeq and is a predicted model, not a curated record. Lineage: Eukaryota; Metazoa; Chordata; Crocodylia; Alligatoridae.
CGAGGCUGCUGUGCGUGGGGACAGUUGGGGGUCACGGCUGGGCAGACCUUGGGGCAAGGGCAGGGGCAUGGUCCCGUGUCUCCCAUCCCAUGGUGACGUCCCUGCUGUCUCCUUGCCCGCAGGCCCCGCAGACCGGAUGCUGUGGUGCGGCACCGUGUGUGAGCGUAGGGGAGCGAGAGCCCAGGCCCUGGUGUGGGGAGGCCUGUCCUGGUGGCUUUGCUGGAGCCCAUGGCAGCCGUGGCCCUUCCCUUGGCAGCCCUGCUGCAGCCUGAGAUGUACAAGACACUUAAUCUUUGUAUUGUUCUGCUUGGAACUGAGACGUGGACAGAAGUGGACAUUUACUCAUUGGCUGGACCAUGCUUUUCACUUUUUUACUCCAUGGACUAGAUAGUUCCUUAAACCCUGCAUACACUUUGACCGUGCACAAUUACUCCUGUAAGAGGCAGACACUAUCGAGGCACACUAGGACUGGUGACACAAGGAACUGUAUGCAACACAGAUGCCUCAACAUCUAUUAUUAGGAUCGGCACUUCAGGAACAACUCGUUCUGUUCUCUCCUUUGAUCUGGGGGAUCGUAACAGGUUCCUGCCAGUGUCCCGUCCUGUGUGACACACAUUCGAGGUCCUGCUGUUGGGAGCCAUCACUUCUUGUAAACCGAGGCACUGCUCUCAGUGCCUCCCUUCUGCUCUGGUACCCACUUUGUGCUUCAACCAACUGGUCAUUUUAAAAGUUUAGUCCAAUGACUCGUCCCACAAAUUUCAAUCAUACCUCCCCUGCAUCUCCUUUUCUACAGCCUAACCACUCUCAGUUGUUUAACUUUUUCCCAACAGCUUGAAUUUCAACUGCUACAGUAGGCUGGGGCAGAUGGUUGUCUGACUCCAUUGUCUCAUUACUUGAGACCUGCAAGCAAACUUCAGGAUCCCAUCCCGACUUGAAGUUACUACUUAUGAGCUUAUGUAAGGAAUCAGCCUCUUCCAAGGAAAGCUCUUCCUUGGCACUCCCCAGAAAGUUUUGUUUGGUCUCUAACCUGAUGGACCCCUACAGCCAACCCUGGCAUGGGUUUCCAAGCGGUGUUGAGACCCUGCCUCCUUGUUGGCCUUUGUGCAUUAGACAGCCUGUCUGCUCCCACGGCUGUGACUGUGUGACCCACACUCCUAGAGACCAGGUAACCCCUGCUGCCCUUUCUGAACCAUUCUCAUGCAUACACAGAUACCUAUAAGGCAAUUCCCAAAAAGCAAACCUUUAAAUGCCAUUUUCUAAGCCAACAGGGGAGAGGGAGGAAUGCCAUGUCCCAGCCAACACAGCAGACUGCUUCCCUUCAGUUUUUCUUGUGCCGUUGCCAUUCCCUUGUUCUCCCUGGGACUCUUGCUUUCCUCCUCCUGCUCCCUCCAUGCCUCUUCAGUGACCUUCAGGUGCAGUGUGCCACAUCGGCAACAAAACUUAAAAGACUAACAUCAACUCACCCUGCUCUCCUAGGUAUCCCACUUAUGAACCUAUCUAUAGCAAAGGGUACUCACAUUGAGCCCCUCAAAAUCUCCCCCACCAGGACGCUAGAUCCUUUCGAGGGAGCCGGGGGUACCACACCUAUCAGCACCGUUAGGUGGGCAAAUGUGAUUCACAAGAUGCACCCAGAGAUUUCCAAGAGAAAUCCAGAGUUGUGGUCUUUUUGAGUUCUUUGCAACAGAAAACUGCUGUGUUGUUUUUCAGUAGUUAAAAAAGAGUAAAAAUGAAGAGCUGAUGUUUUCUGAGGGGUUCCUCCAAUCGAUCCAGGUUGAGAACCACUGCACUAGCUAUAUCCAGUUGAAUUCGUUACCUAUAUAGUGAACAUUUCUACCACUGCUGGAGCACGGUCUGGGCUAGAUGGACCAUUGGUCUGACCCAGUACGGCACAUCUUUUGUUCUUAUGCCCCUUUCAAGUGCCUGAUUUGGGAGCUACUUAAUUACUUCCAGUAUGUUUAUUUUUUGGUUGCUAAUGGCAAGCCCCUUCCCCAUUUUGUAUGCACACCUCAGCUCCCUACUCUUGCCCCCCAAACUUCCCUCCCUCCCGAGUACUGCAUGCAUGUGAUGUCAAUGUGUUAAUGCAUGAGGGAGUGUAAUCAUGAACUACCAGGGCAGAGGAAGAUCUUAGGUGAAGAGAAAUGGUACAACAGAUAAAGUGAACAAAUGAAAAUACAUAUUCUGUAGUCCAUAUUGUUCUUCUAACUAAGAAUAUACAUGAACAAACUGCAGAAAGAUCUUGGGUCAAGCAGAAGGUCUCUGAAACAUCAUCAACACGAGUAUAUGGCAAUCAUUUACUAUAAAACCCCACAAGUAGAUGGCACCUUGUUUUUAAUGCUUGUUCUAUUUGCAGAUGUACAAGACACUUAAUCUUUGUAUUGCUCUGACUGGAACUGAGACACAGACAGAAGUGGACCACAUAACAGUUACUCAUUGACUGGACCAUGCUUUUCACUGUUUUUACUCCAUGGGCUAGACGGUUCCUUAAAUCCCGUGUACACUUUGACCGUGCACAAUUACUCCUGUAAGAUAGUCAUUCAUUUUCGUAAGACUAUGUAGAUAGUGUUUCUGAUGUGUAUUAGCAUCAGUAUUAAAUGCACAUUCCUCAGCUUUUAUGAAA